Molecule: unclassified non-coding RNA, 241 nt
Filed under: uncultured fungus
Lineage: Eukaryota; Fungi
Description: sequence contains ITS2
Rfam family: 5.8S ribosomal RNA (bases 1-52)
Source: RNAcentral
AACGCACAUUGCGCCCCUUGGUAUUCCGAGGGGCAUGCCUGUUCGAGCGUCAUUACAACCCUCAAGCAUUGCUUGGUAUUGGGUUCCGCUGCUCACCCAGCGGGCCUUAAAAUCAGUGGCGGUGCCGUCGGGCCCUGAGCGCAGUAAAUAUCCUCGCUACAGAGACCCGGUGGACGCUGGCCAUCAACCCCCAAUUUCUAAGUUUGACCUCGGAUCAGGUAGGGAUACCCGCUGAACUUAA